GUAGAGGGAAGAAGUGGUGGGAGUAUCUCAGGGCCAUUCCUACUCUCCCCUGGGGAGAUAGCAGGGGACUGUUGUCCAAAACCCAUUAACUAAGGAGGCAGAAGUAUUCAGUACCAGGCCUGGCUCUGGAAGGACCUUACUGUGUGAAAUUUACUUUGUGAAAUGGCGUGCCUUUUUGGGGCCUCAAUUUCUUCACCUGUGAAAUGGGAAUAACGACUUGCCUACAUCACAGAACUUUAACUGCCCUUCAGGCUAGAAAUAAACAGGGGAGACAACCAGGAUGACAGCACCUGUGAGGCCUUCUGGGAAUUGCCUGGAAAGUUUAUCAAGAAUGCAGAUUCACAGGGCCCUCCCUAGAACUUCUGAGUCAGAAUCUAACCACCGCUCCCCACCCCAAGUCAACCUGAGGCCCAGGCAGACUGAGGACCACAGCUGUGAGGCGAGGCAAGCGCUGAGCGGGAGAAGCUGGGGUCGGUGCCCAGGGAGGAGCUGCGCCUGCCAACACCCAGGCUGCGGGCACACCCCACGAGGGCCUCAGGAGGGUCGUGUGAGCACAAACUCCAGCACCCAGAGAGGGCGAAGCCAGGCCUCAGCCCCUGCCCCACGCAGGGGCCCAGCCCAGGCGAUGGCACGCCUGCCCUCAACAGCUACACACCUCCCAGUUGCCUCGGUCCCCUGAGCCAAGAAAACUCCUACUAUCUCUUCACCUGAGCUCCUGGCGGUGCUCUCUGUUCUGCCCUUGCUGUGUGUCUUUAGGUUCAACCCUACCCCUCUCUGAUACUCUGGCUUCUCAGCCCUCAAAGGAGGGGAGUGGACACCUCGCUCUUCAUAGCCUCUUCUGGCCCUGGAAAACCACUCCAGGCUUUCUUUGAGCACCUUGGAUGGGUACAGGUACAUCUGGCCUCCCCGGUGUAAGGGAGGCUGGAGAGGCCUGAGGCCGGGGAGGGGGAAGCCGGUUCCCCAUAUCGUGGAGCUUCUAGUGGUGGCCAAGAGACAAGCCCGAUCGAAGAAAACACUUGUAGUUUCACCCAGACAUGAUUCAUUCAUUUCAUUACUCAUUUGCUUAGCGAGCACCUACCAUACACCAGGGACCAUGCUGGGCUCUGAGCACAUAGUAGUGAAAAAGGUGGACAUGGGGGCUCCCCGGUGGCCCCCAAGCUUGUCAUCUGGUAGAAGAGACAGCAGAGCCCACAAACAGAUUGACAAAGUGACAAUGUGUGAUUGAUGCUUUAAAGGUUAUGAAGGAGCACGGAGACAGAGAAUAAUGGUGGAAGGGAGGGGAGAGGAAUAAUCUUUAGAUGAGGGGCUGACCCUGGCCUCUUCGAGGGGUGACCUCAGAACUGAGACCUGAAGGGUGAGAGGGAGCCAGCCACACGUCAUCUUGGGUGGAGGUGGGUGACUGUGCCAAGGGGCCCCAGGAAGCCUUCGUGGCAGAGGCAGAAUGAGACAGGGUGGGGGAGGCGGGAAUGCAGGGGAAAUGGGAGAAGCAGCCAGAUCUUAUAAGAAGUUUUAUUUUGUCCCCAAGACCCAUGGAAGGCCCAUAAGAUGCAAGGAAGGGGCAGUGACUUGAUCAAACCCACGUUUUCCACAUAUUCGUAAGCUCCGCCAGCUCCUGUUUGCAACAGAGGUGGUUAGGGAGUGACGGGGGCGGUGCGGAGCCUGACACAGAGGUCUCCAAAGUGGGGUGCAAACACCCCAGGAGGUGUGCAAGGUAAUUCUCUGAGGCGAAAGGUAUAUUAAAAAUUGUUAUUUCUAUUUCCAUUUCAUCCAAGAAAAAAGGAAAAGAAUUCAGUUUUCCCAGUAUUUAUAGAUUGACACUGAUGUCCGUAUUUGGUCUUUACGUCAAACAUUACUGCACGGAAGAUCAGCCAGGCUUUUCCUUUGCUGUCAGCAUUUUGAAGAACUUUUCUCUUCAGGUGAGGCCAGUUCAGCAGAUUUCUAGAUAAGAAUACCCUUCAAGUGAUUUUUCACCCAGUGGACAGAGGACUUAAAAAGAAAGCAGGAAAAAGAGGGACGAAAAAGGAAGAAACUCUGAACAUAAUGCACGCCCUCGAAUCCAGAGCGAGGCAUGGUUGUGGGCCCUUCACUCCCUGGCAUCUGCUCCGACAGCCACCAGAGAAGCAAACACUGUGAUAAUCCAACUGGGUCUAAAGAGAAAGUGGUCCCCAAAGUUCAUAUAUGAGCGAGAAGACAAUUUGCAAUAAGAAUUUAUAUCCACUACUAUUAGUAAUGAGCCUAAGUCUAAGUAUAGACUUUUGGUUUGCGAUCUUAGCAAGUGAUGGCAUAAAACCAUUCACACUUAUUAAAACAUUUAAAAAUAUUAUUUUAAUCUGACUUAAUUGAACUUCACUUUAUAUUUUUGUGCCUGUUUGAUAAUAUUCAUAAUACAUU
This is a non-coding RNA of Delphinapterus leucas (beluga whale), 2391 nucleotides long. The record is from RefSeq and is a predicted model, not a curated record. Lineage: Eukaryota; Metazoa; Chordata; Mammalia; Artiodactyla; Monodontidae.